GACGAACGCUGGCGGCGUGCUUAACACAUGCAAGUCGAACGAGACGAUUGAAAGCUUGCUUUUGAAAGUCGAGUGGCAAACGGGUGAGUAACGCGUAGACAACCUGCCUUUGAGAUGGGGACAACAGUUCGAAAGGACUGCUAAUACCGAAUGUUGUAUAUUUUCCACAUGGAAGAUAUAUUAAAGAUGGCCUCUAUUUAUAAGCUAUCGCUCAAAGAUGGGUCUGCGUCUGAUUAGCUGGUUGGGGGGGUAACGGCCUACCAAGGCGACGAUCAGGAGCCGGUCUGAGAGGGUGGACGGCCGCAUUGGGACUGAGACACGGCCCAGACUCCUACGGGAGGCAGCAGUGGGGAAUUUGGGACAAUGGGCGAAAGCCUGAGCCAGCAAUGCCGCGUGUGUGAAGAAGGCCUUCGGGUUGUAAAGCUCUGUUUAAAGGGACGAAUGGCAGAUCUGUGAAUAAUGAAUUUGCAUGACGGUACCUUUGGAGGAAGCCACGGCUAACUACGUGCCAGCAGCCGCCGUAA
RNAcentral lists this ribosomal RNA (524 nucleotides) under uncultured bacterium. Its description in RNAcentral is "partial 16S ribosomal RNA". It matches the Rfam family "Bacterial small subunit ribosomal RNA", at positions 28 to 523 of the family's 1533-position model. The record is from RNAcentral.